AAAAAGGUUAAAACCAGCCUGCAUCUUGGGAUUUCGGCCUUGUUGGAGGACUUGGGAGUUGACGAUGAUGGCAGUAUUAAGGUAACUUUGGUGCCAAGGAAUGUCCAGCGACCCGUCACCAUUGGUCGGAUCAAGAUCGACUAUUUUGCCUAGAUAAUUAGAAAAGAAGCUUGCUUAAUUUCAUGUAACAUAACAUUGUGUAAGAUGAUCAAGAUUCAAAAGACAACGGUAUACCUAUAAAUCAAUCAUCAGAUUCAGAAUUUCAGACCAAGUAACCAUGCCGGCUGCCGACUAAACUACCUGCUCU
RNAcentral lists this long non-coding RNA (307 nucleotides) under Malus domestica (apple). RNAcentral describes it as "long non-coding RNA (MDOM_LNC009723)". Lineage: Eukaryota; Viridiplantae; Streptophyta; Magnoliopsida; Rosales; Rosaceae. The record is from RNAcentral.